UACGUGAGGGGCGAACGUUGUUCGGUGUCACUGGGCUUAAAGGGUGCGUAGGUGGUUGCGUAAGUAACGUGUGAAAUCCCUCGGCUUACCCGGGGAAUUGCGCGUUAUACUGCGUGACUUGAGGAUUUCAGGGGAAUGGGGAACUCCAGGUGUAGCGGUGAAAUGCGCAGAUAUCAGGAGGAACACCAAUGGCGAAGGCAGCACUCUGGGACGUGACUGACGCUGAGACGCGAAAGCGUGGGGAGCAAACAGG
Molecule: ribosomal RNA, 253 nt
Filed under: uncultured bacterium
Lineage: Bacteria
Description: partial 16S ribosomal RNA
Rfam family: Bacterial small subunit ribosomal RNA
Source: RNAcentral